AGUGAACGCUGGCGGUAGGCCUAACACAUGCAAGUCGAACGGCAGCACAGUAAGAGCUUGCUCUUACGGGUGGCGAGUGGCGGACGGGUGAGGAAUACAUCGGAAUCUACUUUUUCGUGGGGGAUAACGUAGGGAAACUUACGCUAAUACCGCAUACGACCUACGGGUGAAAGCAGGGGAUCUUCGGACCUUGCGCGAUUGAAUGAGCCGAUGUCGGAUUAGCUAGUUGGCGGGGUAAAGGCCCACCAAGGCGACGAUCCGUAGCUGGUCUGAGAGGAUGAUCAGCCACACUGGAAAUGAGACACGGUCCAGACUCCUACGGGAGGCAGCAGUGGGGAAUAUUGGACAAUGGGCGCAAGCCUGAUCCAGCCAUACCGCGUGGGUGAAGAAGGCCUUCGGGUUGUAAAGCCCUUUUGUUGGGAAAGAAAAGCAGCAGGUUAAUACCCCGCUGCUCUGACGGUACCCAAAGAAUAAGCACCGGCUAACUUCGU
RNAcentral lists this ribosomal RNA (491 nucleotides) under uncultured bacterium. RNAcentral's name for it is "partial 16S ribosomal RNA". It matches the Rfam family "Bacterial small subunit ribosomal RNA", at positions 29 to 506 of the family's 1533-position model. The record is from RNAcentral.